RNAcentral lists this unclassified non-coding RNA (4539 nucleotides) under Hevea brasiliensis (rubber tree). The record is from RNAcentral. Lineage: Eukaryota; Viridiplantae; Streptophyta; Magnoliopsida; Malpighiales; Euphorbiaceae.
GGUUAAAUCCUCAGAAAUGUGUAACUUUUACUCCUUUUGGUUACUUCUCAAAAAUGAUAACGGUUUUGAUUGAAUUGUUAAGUUCUUACAAACAUGGUAUCCUUUGAUUAAGGCCAUAUUCAUGUAUAUUGUCAGCAUGCCCUUCUUCAAGUCUAUGCUUCUCUAUUCAGAUUGGCAAUUGUAAAUUGUAAUCAGUUGAUAAUUUCAUAAUAUUGUACUCCUGGCUAAUAUAACUCAAUAGAAAGCCCCUUUGCAUGCUUUAAGUGUUUAAUAUAUGAAGAUGCUCAUAGACCGGUUCAAGAAUUCAAUUGAAGAGUAUACCGACUCAACUGACCAUAAUUUAUUUGGCAGUGCUUUAUUAAUUUUCUCAUUAGCACAACAUUUUCAAUAGUCAAUCAUUUAAUUGAGUAGGAUUGAGCUAGAGCUUUUCACUAAAACAUACUGGAUCCUUUGCAGAUGUGUCAAGAGUAUGAAAUGUGUCCCUGUAUCUCCUUUUAUUGUAUGAAUCAAUUGGUUAAAAAGUUUUGCAAACAAAGUAAAGAAUCAACUGGUGCAUCGCUGGAAAAUUAUUAGUGAUGCUUCUGAGCUCUAAGCUGAAGACAGUACCAUGUUAGGGCAAUGACCUUUUCCAUGCUUAAUUGUUUGUGCCACAGAAUUAUAGUAUAGUUAUAAGCAUGUGUGUCAGUGAAUGAGAAAUUGGGAUAAACCAUUACCAUCUUGACCAUCUGUUUGCCAGAACAAAUAUUUUCACUCAUGAGAUCAAUAACCCAGUUUAAUGUUUAAAUUGACUGAUUGCAGACACAAUUUAUGGUUUUUGUUGUGUUUGUUUUUCUAAUGUAUACAUGCGGACCACAAAGAGAUGAAAUUCGUUUUUAAAUAUUGUUGUAACUCAUCAACUGUUACUUAUAAAUCCAAAUGAAUAACUGAGCUACAUCCAAUGAAUGUGAAAGGGAUGGAAAUGUGGUAUGUUUAUUAUGUCUUUUUUAUGGCAUAUGUUGGCACAGUUGCUUUUUAUUGGACGCAAGCAAGACGCAAUGGCUGUUAAAUAAAUUGUAAUUAUGAUGCAUAAAAAUUUUCUUUCCACCUAAUUAGUUUCUGCAGUACAUAAAAGAAGACCAAAACUCCCAUCUGUACAAGAUUUCCAAAGAAUAAAUUUUCCAUUCUUACUAUCAUAUUUUGAAGUUGGGAUGGUCUUUGGAAUUUGUAUUGAAAAUCAAGUUUUGCUUUUAUAUUAACUAAGAGUGAGAUUAUUGGUGGCCAAGUUGAACUUCUAUAUGUCCUUAGGUUUUAUAUUUCAUUUUCAUUUUUUAAUUUACUGUUUGACUACUUACCUAUAUGACAGGUAAAGAAGAGACUAUAGACCAAAAGGAUCAGCUGUACAAAUCAUUGCCUUUGCCCUUAUCAUCAUCACAAGAAGGACAGCAUCAUGUGCAACCAUCAUUGCCCGCUUGUGGUGGAUCAAUUUUUAACGAACAGCCCUUUGCAUAUGGCAAUCAAGGAGCUGAUUUGACUGUGGACCUUAGCAAUCAGCCUUUAGAUUUUGCAUCCGGUGUUAGUCGUGAUCAUGAUCCACACGUGCAAUCCAGUUAUACUGCUCAUCAUGAUUCAGCCGGAAAUGUAAGAGGUCUUGGCCAUGUUGCACCGUUACCUUCUAUUAAUUCCUGGACUCCUGCUGUUGCAACUGGUUCUGUUUAUCCUCCAAUCCCUCCAGGUCUUCCAUCAGGGCCUCAGCAUGAUCCUUUAGUAGCCAUACCUUCUCCUGUUUCUGGACAUGCUGCACCACCAUUUGGAAGCUUCCCUGGGCCGCCAACAAUUCCAUCUGCUGGUGUGCCAUAUGUUCUUGGUCCAGGAACUGCACUUCAUCCUACAGCAGGUUUCCCAGGUGAUGCUUAUGGUGUUUCUAAUGUUUCUGAACGCCCUAAAAAGGCUUCUGUGCCUAAUUGGCUUAAAGAAGAAAUAAUUAAGAACGCAUCUGUUAUCACGAGGUCUUCUCUAGAGCAUCCCAAUGAGGAAACUCAAUCCAUUGACGAUGAAAGUGUUGAUAAAUCGUUUGGGAAGGGUGAUCAAGCAGACAGCAAAAGUAUCGAUUCUUCUAGGUCGACUGAAGAAGAGGAUGAAGAUGAGGAUGAUGAGGAAGCUGCUAGAAAUGCAGCCAUUAAUCAAGAAAUAAAACGUGUUCUAACAGAAGUUCUUCUGAAGGUUACUGAUGAGCUGUUUGAUGAAAUUGCUACAAAAGUUCUUCACGAAGAUGAUCUGACUGUUGAAGUUGAGCACGAUACUGUCACUUCAAAUCAUAAGGCAGCUCCAUCUCCUCCAGAAGUCCCAACUCUGAAGGCAUCUGCAAAGGUUCUAGUUCCUGUUAAAGCAAGAGAGUCUGAAACUGAAGAUGUAAGUGAAAAAUCCAGUUCUGGUGCCCCAGGAAAUGUAUUGGGUCUUGCUAACUAUGCAUCUGAUGAUGAAGAAGAAGAAGAUGAUGAUGAAAUCAAGAGUUCCAGUAUGUCAAAUUUAAGGAAAAAUGGUUUGCUUCAACAAUCUAGCAAUAGCAUUCCAAAGUUUUCACAAGAUAUGCAUGAUGUGGCUGAAAAUGGCAGCUCACCCCUGGAACUUGGAAUGAACAGUGGAGGACAGACAAAUUUGGAGAAUGAUUUGAGCAAAACCAACUCAAUUGAAUCCAAAAGUAAAAUCAGUGCUGCUUUUAGUGAGUUAAGUGAGCCCAAGGUGGCUUCUGGAGCCAUGGAUCUUGAGAUCAAUGUUGAUAGUCGAAAAACCAUACAUACAACUAAUGGGUCUGGAAUGAGGUCUGCUCUUGGAGAAAAUGUUGUAGAAGAUUCUCAAGUUAGGGAAACGAGGAUGAAAUCAAAUGAAGAUAACCGACAUGAAAAUAAAAGAAGUUAUUCUGGAAAAGAUAUUAAGGAGGCACAACAUGGGAGUAGGGUAGAUGAGAAAGGAGAUGGCAAUCGUAGGAGGCAAGAUGAAAUGCAUCUGAGAAAGGAAAAGACAGAUAACCAAAAUGGCUCAAAAGAAAGAAUGAAAGAGAGAGGUGAUAGGACUGGAGAAAAUGCAAAGGAAUCUGAAUCAAGAAAAAGAUCUUCUCAUCUUGAUGUCAAGGAGGAUAGGAAAGAAGCAGAGAAACUUCAAAGAUCAAGUGCCAAAGAGGAUAACAGAAAAAGAGGACGAGUGAAGGAUAAGGAGGAAGAUAGAGCAAGACAUAAACGCGCUAGUGACUCAAGCAGGCAUAAGAGAAGACGUUCCUCUUCAACCAGCAGUAGGGGUAGAAACAGCAAGGACAAUGAUUCAAGCGCUGAAGUAUCAGAUGAUUCUAAGAGAAAGCUACAUUCAAGAAAGCGGAACUUAUCACCUUCACCCGUCAGGUCUAGGAGAAGGUACCCCUUAUCAGCAUUUCUUUUCUCUUAUUUUGUUCUUCAAUUUUUAUAUACAACUAAGGCAAUCUCAAACUAGUUGAAGUCGAUUAUAUCAAUCCUGUUUUGCCAUUUAGUUUCAUUUGAUAUCAAUUCCGCAUCAAAAUUCAAAAUUUGUAAGUCUUUUGAUUCUAUUUCCCUUCGCAUCAUUUUAGGUCUCUCUCUUUCCCUUUUUACUCCAUUCACUGCUAACUUAUCACAUUUUUGAAAUGGAGCAUUCGUUGCUCUAUGAUGGACCUAACUAAGCCAUCUUAAUCGGUCCUCUCUCAUUUAUCCCUAAUGUGUGCUGCAUACACUGUCUUAUCUAUUAUCAUAAUACCAUACAUCUAUCUUAAUCUACUAACUACUUGCUAAGGUUGCUUGCUAGUUGGUUUUCUUUUUGAAUAUUAGCAAGCAACUAGGUUCACGUACUUGGGUGAGAAAUCAAAUGAGGUUGCAUUUGGAUAUACAGUCAAUUGAAAUGAAGGAUUUGCUUUUGAUACAUGAGUUUUAACUUUAUAUCAUGUAGAUUGUGUUUGGUUGAGUAGAUUCAUUGAAUGUGUGGUUGUAAAAGAUUACUUGCUUGAAUGAGAAUUUGAGCACCUACUAUAAGGAUGUAAUUUCAAAUACACUCUCGAAAUUUAGUUUAAGCGUGGGUUUUCCUUAUUUACAAUUAUACAUAUUAAAUUAGACAAUUUGAAAUAAAAAAUUGAUUAAAUUCUUAAUUUCAAAUCUCACUAUACAAAUGGAGCCUGGAUUUAUUUGAAAUCCUGUUAAACUGUUGUCUGACUAUGUAAAUAUCUUAUUUUAGGCAUGUAGUCUAUAAUCCUAUUCCUGUAAAAUUGUUUGUGGCUUCAUGGGGUGGUUUUGGUGAACCUGAUGUUGUUUGGGCGCUUUUUGUUUGGUCAAUGAUGAAUAGAUCAAUUUGGUAGUUUCUUAUUUCAAAUUCUAUAUUAUUUUUUCUGUUCCUGGUGCAAAUUUUGAAUUACUUUUCUUGCUAUACUGUUUCUGUUUCCAAAUGCCUGCAUUGAAAGUCACUUGCCAAGCUCAUCCUUUGAAGUAAGAAAACAAAUAUUGGUGGAGAUGCUUUUUAGCUGCCAUAGGAAUGAAAUUGUUGUUUAUGUAUAUAUAUAUAUAUAUA